This 531-nucleotide ribosomal RNA is filed under the name Triticum aestivum (bread wheat). Its description in RNAcentral is "partial small subunit ribosomal RNA". Lineage: Eukaryota; Viridiplantae; Streptophyta; Magnoliopsida; Poales; Poaceae. The record is from RNAcentral.
AUGGUGCGCAUCGAAACCGAUGGCCGACCAGAUAAGUCCCAUAGCUUCAGGAAUUUCAUUGAUAAGAGCCUUAGCCUGUUGACCAAGGGCAAGAUUUGCCACAAGAUCGGCAUCGAUAUCAAAGACAUCAAGAGCUGCAUCAAGGAGGUCAGUGACCGGCGUGAUAGGUACAAGGUUGACAAUGUGGCUGCUGCCAAGCCCGUCGGUCCAGCUAUUGACACCCUUCGCCUAGCAGCCUUGUAUAGAAAGGCCACAGAGCUCGUUGGCACUGACGAGAAGAGCGUUGAGGUAAUCAAGAUGCUGACGGAGGGAGAUGAGGUUUCGGAGAAAUGUCUAAAAGUGGUCUCUAUUGUUGGAUUUGGUGGAUUGGGCAAGACAACCCUUGCCAAUGCAGUGUAUAAGAAGCUCAGAGUGCAAAUCAGUAUUCAAAAGCAAAAUUUGCAAUUCGAUUGUGCGGCCUUUGUUUCCGUGUCUCUUAAUCGUAAUAUGAAGCAUAUUUUCAAGAGCAUGCUCCAUCAACUUGACAAGUAG